GACGAACGCUGGCGGCGUGCUUAACACAUGCAAGUCGAACGGAAAGGCCCUGCUUGCAGGGUACUCGAGUGGCGAACGGGUGAGUAACACGUGGGUGAUCUGCCCUGCACUUCGGGAUAAGCCUGGGAAACUGGGUCUAAUACCGGAUAGGAGCCAUUUUUAGUGUGAUGGUUGGAAAGUUUUUUCGGUGUAGGAUGAGCUCGCGGCCUAUCAGCUUGUUGGUGUGGUAAUGGCCUACCAAGGCGGCGACGGGUAGCCGGCCUGAGAGGGUGGACGGCCACAUUGGGACUGAGAUACGGCCCAGACUCCUACGGGAGGCAGCAGUGGGGAAUAUUGCACAAUGGGCGCAAGCCUGAUGCAGCGACGCCGCGGGGGGGAUGACGGCCUUCGGGUUGUAAACUCCUUUCGCUAGGGACGAAGCUUUUUGUGACGGUACCUAGAUAAGAAGCACCGGCUAACUACGUG
This 465-nucleotide ribosomal RNA is filed under the name uncultured bacterium. Its description in RNAcentral is "partial 16S ribosomal RNA". It matches the Rfam family "Bacterial small subunit ribosomal RNA", at positions 28 to 507 of the family's 1533-position model. The record is from RNAcentral.